ACGCCGAGCUCCAGACGCAGCUCGAUAACUGCCCCGAGUCAGUGCGGGAACAGUUACAGGAGCAGCUGAGAAGGGAGGCAGAGGCCCUGGAGACUGAGACAAAGCUCUUUGAGGACUUGGAGUUCCAGCAGUUGGAGCGGGAGAGCCGCGUGGAGGAGGAGCGCGAGCUGGCCGGCCAGGGGCUGCUCCGGAGCAAGGCUGAGCUGCUCCGCAGCAUCGCCAAGAGGAAGGAGCGCCUGGCCAUCCUGGACAGUCAGGCUGGGCAGAUCCGGGCUCAGGCCGUGCAGGAGUCAGAACGCCUGGCCCGGGACAAGAAUGCCUCCUUACAGCUGCUGCAAAAGGAGAAGGAGAAGCUGACUGUGCUGGAAAGGAGAUACCACUCACUCACAGGGGGCAGGCCUUUCCCGAAGACCACAUCGACCCUCAAAGAGGUAUCAUGAUUGGAUUAGCCGCAGCUUCAGGCCCAAGGGGUGUCCUGGGAGGCUCUGAGUAACACAUGGCACUUUCACCCCAGUAGAUGAGGUUGUGUGGGGGC
This 535-nucleotide small RNA is filed under the name Pan troglodytes (chimpanzee). Its description in RNAcentral is "retained intron". The record is from RNAcentral. Lineage: Eukaryota; Metazoa; Chordata; Mammalia; Primates; Hominidae.